This 41-nucleotide ribosomal RNA is filed under the name Carissa carandas. Its description in RNAcentral is "partial 18S ribosomal RNA". The record is from RNAcentral. Lineage: Eukaryota; Viridiplantae; Streptophyta; Magnoliopsida; Gentianales; Apocynaceae.
GCUCAUUGUCGAUCCUGCAACAAACGACCCGUGAACUCGUU